This 459-nucleotide ribosomal RNA is filed under the name uncultured bacterium. Its description in RNAcentral is "SSU rRNA". It matches the Rfam family "Bacterial small subunit ribosomal RNA", at positions 26 to 518 of the family's 1533-position model. The record is from RNAcentral.
AGAAUCAACGCUGGCGGCGUGCCUAACACAUGCAAGUCGAACGAGAAAGUGGAGCAAUCCAUGAGUAAAGUGGCGCACGGGUGAGUAACACGUGACUAACCUACCCUUGAGUGGGGGAUAACCUAGGGAAACCUGGGCUAAUACCGCAUAAUACCGAGAGGUCAAAGGAGCAAUUCGCUUUAGGAGGGGGUCGCGGCCGAUUAGUUAGUUGGCGGGGUAAUGGCCCACCAAGACUAUGAUCGGUAUCCGGCCUGAGAGGGCGCACGGACACACUGGAACUGAAACACGGUCCAGACUCCUACGGGAGGCAGCAGUGGGGAAUUUGCGCAAUGGGGGAAACCCUGACGCAGCAACGCCGCGUGGAGGAUGAAGUCCCUUGGGACGUAAACUCCUUUCGAUCGGGACGAUUAUGACGGUACCGAGAGAAGAAGCCCCGGCUAACUUCGUGCCAGCAGCCGC